UACGUAGGGGGCUAGCGUUGUCCGGAAUCAUUGGGCGUAAAGCGCGCGUAGGCGGCCCGGUAAGUCCGUUGUGAAAGUCAAAGGCUCAACCUUUGAAAGCCGAUGGAUACUGCCGGGCUGGAGUCCGGAAGAGGCGAGUGGAAUUCCUGGUGUAGCGGUGGAAUGCGCAGAUAUCAGGAGGAACACCAAUAGCGAAGGCAGCUCGCUGGGACGGUACUGACGCUGAGGCACGAAAGCGUGGGUAGCAAACAGG
This 253-nucleotide ribosomal RNA is filed under the name uncultured bacterium. Its description in RNAcentral is "partial 16S ribosomal RNA". It matches the Rfam family "Bacterial small subunit ribosomal RNA", at positions 524 to 776 of the family's 1533-position model. The record is from RNAcentral.